Molecule: unclassified non-coding RNA, 309 nt
Filed under: plant metagenome
Description: partial contains 5.8S ribosomal RNA, internal transcribed spacer 2, and large subunit ribosomal RNA
Rfam family: 5.8S ribosomal RNA (bases 1-104)
Source: RNAcentral
AAAUGCGAUAAGUAGUGUGAAUUGCAGAAUUCAGUGAAUCAUCGAAUCUUUGAACGCACAUUGCGCCCCUUGGUAUUCCAUGGGGCAUGCCUGUUCGAGCGUCAUUUGUACCCUCAAGCUCUGCUUGGUGUUGGGUGUUUGUCCCCGUCUCCGCGCGUGGACUCGCCCCAAAGUGAUUGGCAGCCGGCGUACUGGUCCGGGAGCGCAGCACAUGUCGCGCAAACGAGUGCCUUGGUACGGCGGCGUCCAUAAGCCCCUCUCUCACGCUCUUGACCUCGGAUCAGGUAGGGAUACCCGCUGAACUUAAGC